CUCACAGAUGCUGCAGUGUGCCUUGCUGGCUAACCUCCUCUGUUCCAGUUCCUGAUCCACUUGAGCACAGGAGUCUCGAGCCAGAUCCCAGUCCCUCCUCCUUCUUGGCUGUCUUCUGUUGCCAUAUCAUCUUGUCCUUCAUUGGGGAACGUAUUCAUCAUUCCUCUUCCACAUGGUUCUCUUGGAGCUGUGAAUCGUACCACCAGCCCGUGCCCUGGCCACAGAGGUGGAUAUGAGACCAAACCCUGGCUGUGAUAGUCCAGUAGUGGACCUCCAAAGAUGGAGUUUUCCAUCCCUGUGUCUAUGGCUACUGACCCCUGGCUCUGUGGUCUGCCUGUCUCCUGGCUGGCUUAGCACGGCAGCGAACCACCGUCCUAUCAGGAAGCCCA
Hippopotamus amphibius kiboko is the source of this 389-nucleotide long non-coding RNA. RefSeq lists it as uncharacterized. The transcript has 3 exons. The record is from RefSeq and is a predicted model, not a curated record. Lineage: Eukaryota; Metazoa; Chordata; Mammalia; Artiodactyla; Hippopotamidae.